UGGGGAAUAUUGCACAAUGGGGGAAACCCUGAUGCAGCGACGCCGCGUGAACGAAGAAGGUAUUCGUAUCGUAAAGUUCUGUCCUAUGGGAAGAUAAUGACAGUACCAUAGAAGAAAGCUCCGGCUAAAUACGUGCCAGCAGCCGCGGUAAUACGUAUGGAUCGAGCGUUGUCCGGAAUUAUUGGGCGUAAAGGGUACGCAGGCGGUUUAAUAAGUCGAAUGUUAAAGAUCGGGGCUCAACCCCGCAAAGCAUUGGAAACUGAUAAACUUGAGUAGUGGAGAGGAAAGUGGAAUUACUAGUGUAGUGGUGAAAUACGUAGAUAUUAGGAGGAAUACCAGUAGCGAAGGCGACUUUCUGGACACAAACUGACGCUGAGGUACGAAAGCGUGGGGAGCGAACAGG
Molecule: ribosomal RNA, 403 nt
Filed under: bacterium
Lineage: Bacteria
Description: partial 16S ribosomal RNA
Rfam family: Bacterial small subunit ribosomal RNA
Source: RNAcentral